GCAACAACCUAUUCUUUAGGCAAUCAAAAAAAGCCUAUCCCUACCACCUUCAUCAGACAUCACGCCUCUUUCUUCUGACACAGCCCAUGCUUUGGGCUGCCCAAAACCCAUUUGUCAUAAUGAUAUCCAUGCUUCCUGUCCAUUAAUUCUCCCUCUUUAUCCCUCCACGCAUGCACAUUUAGAUCAGCAGCACCUACUCUCACUGUGAUGUCGUCUUCUUCUUUCCUUCAAACUAAACACCAUAGCAGUUUCAAUAUGCAGCAAAUGAUUCGUGAAGAGGUGGAGGGGAUGGCUCGACCCAAACGUUUUUUAAGCUCAUCAUGUAGAACUCAGUUGUCAACUCCAUCGGAACUCACCGUGGGGAAUCCGACAUGCAACAAGUGUUCAGCUCUUGUUUUAGAUAUUAAUUUUUGUGGACUUUGGGGUAAAUCAAUUGAAUUAAAACAGUUUUUGUUUCAAGCUUUAUGGUGUGAGGGCCAUUUUCCUUCCUGGGUCUGAUUCCAGAAGUGGGUCUUGUGGCACCGGUGUUUUCUUCCCUCGUGGAACCGGCAACCCUUUAGAUUCACGCAAGAAACAGGGAUGCUCCACUGCCCUUAUAGCAGCCAGAGUAGCCCAGGCCCUGAAACUCAACUUUGAUGAAAUGGGUGUUGUAUCACCAUCACUGGGUGGCCGUUUCUCUCUGCAACAUGAUGCGGCACCAGGGCGAAGGAACAGCCUGUAUCCACCGCAGAAGCAGCACUGGCCGGCGCCUCCUGCAAUGAAGCACCAGGAGAUGGAUGUUCCUCGGGGAUGGACUCACUGACACUUGAUGAAGCCCCUCUAAUCUUAUGAUGAAAUGCUCAAGUCACAUAGAAAAAAGGAAAAGGAAAAAAAUGAUAGACAAUGAUCAAAAGCAAAAUAUUGCUGAGAUUUUUCUUCUUUGGUUUUUCAGGAUUUCAAGGGUGAGAAUUUGGAAAAAGGAAAGGAAUAAAAGUUGUCUGGGAGGGAAAAGUAGAGAGUCUAUAAGGGUUAUCAUUAGGAAUGAUGAUGAUUUAGGUACGAUUAGUGGUUGGUGGGGGGCGGGGAUUGGCCUUUUGGAAAAGCGCUUGUAAUAAUGUUAGAGAUGUUAACAAAAGAGAGUUGCCCUGCUUACAUCUCUUUGUUUCCUCUCUUCUACCAGUACCAUUUUAGCUUUCAAUAAUUUCCCCUUAUUUUUUGUAUGGUCAAGAAAAUGUUUGUUGUGAAACUAAAAAUUGUUCCUUGAAAUUUGCCCCUUUGUUUAUGCA
Vitis vinifera (wine grape) is the source of this 1265-nucleotide RNA transcript. RefSeq lists it as uncharacterized. The record is from RefSeq and is a predicted model, not a curated record. The transcript is spliced from 3 exons. NCBI's taxonomy places the organism in Eukaryota, Viridiplantae, Streptophyta, Magnoliopsida, Vitales, Vitaceae.